ACCGAGCGGCGGGUAGAAU
RNAcentral lists this small nuclear RNA (19 nucleotides) under Arabidopsis thaliana (thale cress). Its description in RNAcentral is "snRNA_15469". Lineage: Eukaryota; Viridiplantae; Streptophyta; Magnoliopsida; Brassicales; Brassicaceae. The record is from RNAcentral.